GAGGUUGUGGCUCAGUGGUAGAGUGCUUACCUACCACUGCAUGAGGCACUGGGUUCGAUCCUCAGCACCACA
This 72-nucleotide transfer RNA is filed under the name Marmota monax (woodchuck). RNAcentral's name for it is "tRNA.Gly". The record is from RNAcentral. Lineage: Eukaryota; Metazoa; Chordata; Mammalia; Rodentia; Sciuridae.